CCUGCCCGCAAGACCGGGAUAACUCCGGGAAACCGGAGCUAAUACCGGAUAACACCGAAGACCGCAUGGUCUUUGGUUGAAAGGCGGCCUUUGGCUGUCACUUGCGGAUGGGCCCGCGGCGCAUUAGCUAGUUGGUGAGGUAACGGCUCACCAAGGCGACGAUGCGUAGCCGGCCUGAGAGGGUGACCGGCCACACUGGGACUGAGACACGGCCCAAACUCCUACGGGAGGCAGCAGUAGGGAAUCUUCCGCAAUGGGCGAAAGCCUGACGGAGCGACGCCGCGUGAGCGAAGAAGGCCUUCGGGUCGUAAAGCUCUGUUGUGAGGGACGAAGGAGCGCCGUUCGAAGAGGGCGGCGCGGUGACGGUACCUCACGAGGAAGCCCCGGCUAACUACGUGCCAGCAGCCGCGGUAAUACGUAGGGGGCGAGCGUUGUCCGGAAUUAUUGGGCGUAAAGCGCGCGCAGGCGGUUCCUUAAGUCUGAUGUGAAAGCCCACGGCUCCCCGUGGAGGGUCAUUGGAAACUGGGGGACUUGAGUGCAGGAGAGGAGAGCGGAAUUCCACGUGUAGCGGUGAAAUGCGUAGAGAUGUGGAGGAACACCAGUGGCGAAGGCGGCUCUCUGGCCUGCAACUGACGCUGAGGCGCGAAAGCGUGGGGAGCAAACAGGAUUAGAUACCCUGGUACUCCACGCCGU
RNAcentral lists this ribosomal RNA (693 nucleotides) under Geobacillus kaustophilus. RNAcentral describes it as "bacterial SSU rRNA". It matches the Rfam family "Bacterial small subunit ribosomal RNA", at positions 125 to 803 of the family's 1533-position model. The record is from RNAcentral. Lineage: Bacteria; Bacillati; Bacillota; Bacilli; Caryophanales; Anoxybacillaceae.